AGCGAACGCUGGCGGCAGGCCUAACACAUGCAAGUCGAACGAACUCUUCGGAGUUAGUGGCGGACGGGUGAGUAACACGUGGGAACGUGCCUUUUGGUUCGGAAUAACUCAGGGAAACUUGUGCUAAUACCGAAUGUGCCCUUCGGGGGAAAGAUUUAUCGCCAUUAGAGCGGCCCGCGUCUGAUUAGCUAGUUGGUGAGGUAACGGCUCACCAAGGCGACGAUCAGUAGCUGGUCUGAGAGGAUGACCAGCCACACUGGGACUGAGACACGGCCCAGAAUCCUGGGGGAGGAGGGAGUGGGGAAUCUUGCAAAAGGGGGGAAGGCCAGAAGCACCCAGGCCGGGAAAAUAAUGAUGUUGUAAGAGUUGAAAAUUUUUUUAACCGGGAGCAAUAAUGACGGUACCGGAAGAAGAAGCCCCGGCUAACUUCGUG
This 433-nucleotide ribosomal RNA is filed under the name uncultured bacterium. RNAcentral describes it as "partial 16S ribosomal RNA". It matches the Rfam family "Bacterial small subunit ribosomal RNA", at positions 29 to 507 of the family's 1533-position model. The record is from RNAcentral.